GCGGUUUUAGCUCAGUUGGGAGAGCGUCAGACUGAAGUUUAAACUUCGGUCCAGUAUAUCUGAAGGUCCAGUGUUCGAUCCACUGAAACCGCA
Transfer RNA from Nadsonia fulvescens var. elongata DSM 6958, 93 nucleotides. It matches the Rfam family "tRNA". Rfam says of the family: Transfer RNA (tRNA) molecules are approximately 80 nucleotides in length. Their secondary structure includes four short double-helical elements and three loops (D, anti-codon, and T loops). The record is from Rfam. NCBI's taxonomy places the organism in Eukaryota, Fungi, Ascomycota, Dipodascomycetes, Dipodascales.